Non-coding RNA from Kwoniella botswanensis, 87 nucleotides. The record is from the annotation of a RefSeq genome assembly. Lineage: Eukaryota; Fungi; Basidiomycota; Tremellomycetes; Tremellales; Cryptococcaceae.
GCCCGGCUAGCAUAGCGGUAGUGCGUCAGACUUCUAUCGUUUUCCUGUUUGAUCUGAAGGUCGCGGGUUCGAUCCCCGCGUUGGGUU